ACUGGGAUUGGUGACUCAUAUCUGUAAUCCUAGCUACUUGGGAGGCUGAGGCAGGAGGAUCACUUGAGCCCACCAGUUCAAGACCAUCCUGGGCAACAUAGUGAGACUAUGUGUCAA
RNAcentral lists this small RNA (117 nucleotides) under Marmota monax (woodchuck). Lineage: Eukaryota; Metazoa; Chordata; Mammalia; Rodentia; Sciuridae. The record is from RNAcentral.